AGAUGGCGACCGGCGCACGGGUGAGUAACACGUAUCCAACCUGCCGAUAACUCGGGGAUAGCCUUUCGAAAGAAAGAUUAAUACCCGAUGGUAUAAUCAGACCGCAUGGUCUUGUUAUUAAAGAAUUUCGGUUAUCGAUGGGGAUGCGUUCCAUUAGGCAGUUGGCGAGGUAACGGCUCACCAAACCUUCGAUGGAUAGGGGUUCUGAGAGGAAGGUCCCCCACAUUGGAACUGAGACACGGUCCAA
RNAcentral lists this ribosomal RNA (247 nucleotides) under uncultured bacterium. RNAcentral describes it as "partial 16S ribosomal RNA". It matches the Rfam family "Bacterial small subunit ribosomal RNA", at positions 86 to 334 of the family's 1533-position model. The record is from RNAcentral.